UAGCUAGUUGGUGAGGUAAAGGCUUACCAAGGCGACGAUCUGUAGCGGGUCUGAGAGGAUGAUCCGCCACACUGGAACUGAGACACGGUCCAGACUCCUACGGGAGGCAGCAGUGGGGAAUUUUGGACAAUGGGGGCAACCCUGAUCCAGCCAUGCCGCGUGAGUGAAGAAGGCCUUCGGGUUGUAAAGCUCUUUCGGCCGGGAAGAAAUCGCAUGGGCCAAUACCCUGUGUGGAUGACGGUACCGGAAUAAGAAGCACCGGCUAACUACGUGCCAGCAGCCGCGGUAAUACGUAGGGUGCGAGCGUUAAUCGGAAUUACUGGGCGUAAAGCGUGCGCAGGCGGUUUUGUAAGACAGGCGUGAAAUCCCCGGGCUUAACCUGGGAACUGCGUUUGUGACUGCAAGGCCAGUACGGCAGAGGGGGGUGGAAUUCCACGUGUAGCAGUGAAAUGCGUAGAGAUGUGGAGGAACACCAAUGGCGAAGGCAGCCCCCUGGGUCGAUACUGACGCUCAUGCACGAAAGCGUGGGUAGCAAACAGGAUUAGAUACCCUGGUAGUCCACGCCCUAAACUAUGUCAACUAGGUGUUGGGUGGGUAAAACCAUUUAGUACCGUAGCUAACGCGUGAAGUUGACCGCCUGGGGAGUACGGCCGCAAGGUUAAAACUCAAAGGAAUUGACGGGGACCCGCACAAGCGGUGGAUGAUGUGGAUUAAUUCGAUGCAACGCGAAAAACCUUACCUACCCUUGACAUGCCAGGAACUUGCCAGAGAUGGCUUGGUGCCCGAAAGGGAGCCUGGACACAGGUGCUGCAUGGCUGUCGUCAGCUCGUGUCGUGAGAUGUUGGGUUAAGUCCCGCAACGAGCGCAACCCUUGUCGUUAAUUGCCAUCAUUUAGUUGGGCACUUUAACGAGACUGCCGGUGACAAACCGGAGGAAGGUGGGGAUGACGUCAAGUCCUCAUGGCCCUUAUGGGUAGGGCUUCACACGUCAUACAAUGGUCGGUACAAAGGGUUGCCAAGCCGCGAGGCGGAGCCAAUCCCAGAAAGCCGAUCGUAGUCCGGAUUGCAGGCUGCAACUCGCCUGCAUGAAGUCGGAAUCGCUAGUAAUCGUGGAUCAGCAUGUCACGGUGAAUACGUUCCCGGGUCUUGUACACACCGCCCGUCACACCAUGGGAGCGGGUUCCGCCAGAAGUAGGUAGCCUAACCGCAAGGGGGGCGCUUACCACGGCGGGGUUCGUGACUGGGGUGAAGUCGUAACAAGGUAGCCGUAGGGGAACCUGCGGCUG
Molecule: ribosomal RNA, 1285 nt
Filed under: metagenome
Description: bacterial SSU rRNA
Rfam family: Bacterial small subunit ribosomal RNA
Source: RNAcentral